Molecule: transfer RNA, 75 nt
Filed under: Acidobacteriota bacterium
Lineage: Bacteria; Pseudomonadati; Acidobacteriota
Description: Acidobacteria bacterium tRNA-Pro
Source: RNAcentral
CCUGGCAUCCAACAACCCCAGAUACCCUGCUUUGGGAGCAGGGAGUCGGGGGUUCAAAUCCCUCUGCCCCGACCA